UACGGAGGGUGCAAACGUUGCUCGGAAUCAUUGGGCGUAAAGCGCACGUAGGCGGUCCGUUAAGUCGGGAGUGAAAUCCCUCGGCUCAACCGAGGAAGUGCUUUCGAAACUGGCAGACUUGAAUACUGGAGAGGAUCGCGGAAUUCCUGGUGUAGCGGUGAAAUGCGCAGAUAUCAGGAGGAACACCGAUUGCGAAGGCAGCUCGCUGGGACGUAACUGACGCUGAGACGCGAAAGCGUGGGGAGCAAACAGG
This 253-nucleotide ribosomal RNA is filed under the name uncultured bacterium. RNAcentral describes it as "partial 16S ribosomal RNA". It matches the Rfam family "Bacterial small subunit ribosomal RNA", at positions 524 to 776 of the family's 1533-position model. The record is from RNAcentral.